Coffea arabica (coffee) is the source of this 1572-nucleotide RNA transcript. RefSeq lists it as uncharacterized. The record is from RefSeq and is a predicted model, not a curated record. Lineage: Eukaryota; Viridiplantae; Streptophyta; Magnoliopsida; Gentianales; Rubiaceae.
CAGUCACACUUCGGCCUUUCACAACCCCAUAAUCUCCCCAAAAAAAAAAAAUAAAAAAAAAAAAAUAAAAUUGGAGAGACAUUUUUGUAAUCUUUCUUCGAUCUCUCUCUGAUUGAGUUUCAUUGUUCGUCUAUGUGUUGUUCUCUUUAUUAUGGGAAAGUCACUUCCAUCUCCAGCUGCACUCCAAGAAUUGUCCAGGGUUAUCUCCACCAACAGACUUCACCGCCGCCAAGUCCCCAAAUCCCCCCGACCCACCACCUUGUCCUCUGCCCAGCCCCCCGCCGCCGGCCUUAGUGGGUCCCGGCGGCUUGCAUCAAAGGACCAGCAAUUGCCGCAGCUUAGACUUGAAAAUAAGGGGAUGGAGGGGAAGAAAUCGACUUCCAACGACAACUCCACGUCGGCGUCCGAGCAGGGCCGCCGGAUUCCUCUGGCGGAGGCCGUGGCUGAUUGUGUCAAGCGGUGGUUUCAGGACACCCUCAAAGAAGCCAAGGCUGGUGAUACCGCCAUGCAGGUCCUUGUCAGCCAGAUGUAUUAUAGUGGUUAUGGUAUCCCCAGAGACGCCCAAAAGGGAAAGACUUGGAUGAAUAGAGCUUCGAGGGCUCGGUCUUCAGUAUGGAAAGUUAGCGAUAAGCAUCCAGGGUACAAUGCAAGUGACUCGGAUUCUGAGGAUACAAAAGAUGAAGCCAAAUAAGAUGGAAGAAGUCUCUAUUGGUUGAAAGAAAAGAAGAAUCAUGCGUUUUAGAGCGUCUCAACUUCAAUUAGAUGUUAAACACUAGAAUGGUACAAUAAUUUGUUCUAUGCUCUCCCAUUUUGGCUGGCCUCCUUAACAACUUCUCUGCAGAAAGAUGAAUGCUGUUACUGCAAGUCUCCUGGAAAUUAUCUUUACUGCUUCUAUAUAAAUUAUUGGAGGGGCAAUUGCAAUACAAGUACAUUUGCAAUUAAAAUUUAUAGCUGAAAGUUUUGCCAGAUGCGAAUAAUGGGGCUCCACAGCCGUGAGAGUGCGGGACAAGGAGAUUGGAGAUAAGGGGGAAGUGGAAAAUGUUGGCACUUAGGGUCUAUUUGUUUGGACUGAAAAUAUUUUCAGGAAAUUCUGGUGUUUGGCAGCCAAAAAGAUUGGGAAAAUUUUUUCCCGCGGAAAAUCUUUUACGCAAUCACGAGAAAAAUGACUUCCGCAUCUGUUGUACUAAAGUUAUUUUUCAAUAACUCUCAGAGCUCAUCAACCUCACGAUCCCUUUAAUAGGAAAAAAAAUUUGAGAGCUCAUCAUUCUCAUGAUCCUUUACUAAACCGAAAAUUUUCAGAUCAUGACUGAAAAUUAUCUAUCGUGCCUAACCUAGACCUACAGCCACCUCCCCCACCACCACCACAAAGGCGCCUCUCCAUCUUCCUUAUCUUUCUUAGUACUAUUUGUAAGCAUCAGUGAAGUGCUUCAUCUGAUAGAACUCUAUCAAUCAUAAGGAUCUCAUUAUUGAUGCAAUUUCCAUUGACAUAGCGAUUAGGUAAUUAGUAUGAUCUGUAAUGGUAAUGGGUUUGCGAUACUAUGGGUUUCCUGAGUAUGAUCUAAUUUUUUGGAA